Molecule: ribosomal RNA, 577 nt
Filed under: uncultured bacterium
Lineage: Bacteria
Description: bacterial SSU rRNA
Rfam family: Bacterial small subunit ribosomal RNA
Source: RNAcentral
CUAAUACCGUAUAAUGACUUCGGUCCAAAGAUUUAUCGCCUGAGGAUGAGCCCGCGUCGGAUUAGCUAGUUGGUGAGGUAAAAGCUCACCAAGGCGACGAUCCGUAGCUGGUCUGAGAGGAUGAUCAGCCACACUGGGACUGAGACACGGCCCAGACUCCUACGGGAGGCAGCAGUGGGGAAUAUUGGACAAUGGGCGAAAGCCUGAUCCAGCAAUGCCGCGUGAGUGAUGAAGGCCUUAGGGUUGUAAAGCUCUUUUACCCGGGAUGAUAAUGACAGUACCGGGAGAAUAAGCCCCGGCUAACUCCGUGCCAGCAGCCGCGGUAAUACGGAGGGGGCUAGCGUUGUUCGGAAUUACUGGGCGUAAAGCGCACGUAGGCGGCUUUGUAAGUUAGAGGUGAAAGCCCGGGGCUCAACUCCGGAAUUGCCUUUAAGACUGCAUCGCUAGAAUUGUGGAGAGGUAAGUGGAAUUCCGAGUGUAGAGGUGAAAUUCGUAGAUAUUCGGAAGAACACCAGUGGCGAAGGCGACUUACUGGACACAUAUUGACGCUGAGGUGCGAAAGCGUGGGGAGCAAACA